CAUUGUUUUGCUCUUUUGUUGCGAAGAGUGCGAUUUCGAGUGAUAGAAAAAUGUUUUUUGAUUCUGGCGAUUAUCGACCCUUGGGUCCACCCUUGGGUGAGCGAUUGGUUGAAGGUAAGGAGGACUAUGGAUCGAAUAAUGACAUUAUGGGUCUUCCAACGAACAUCGAAAUGAAUAAAGGCUUCAAGAAGCACGAAGAUUGUACGGAAAAUACGAACACCAUUGGGUAUACUAUUGGAUAUACCAUUGGAUAUGCUAUUGGAUGUGCUGUUAGAGAUAGAAAGACAUUGAAAAAAGCCGGAUCUUUCUUCAAGGCAGUAUGGAAACCAGUCAAGAGAUCAGCGCAGAAAGUAUGGAAAAGUAUGAAAAAUGGAGAGACUGAGUACGUUCAGUUUGAAUAAGGAUCUCUUUUCUUCCAUCAUUGCAUCAAGUAUCCAUCUGCUUGAUUUGGUCCGAGUUCGUCUCGGAUUUAAGAAGUUUUAUUUUAAAAUAUCCAAAAAAAAUUCAAGAGAAAUCUUUAUAAAUACCAAAAAAACAUUUUAAAUUUUAAUUAUUUGGAUUUUCCGACUGUGGCUUCCUCAAACUUGUCUUUAUCCCGAUUUUGACUUUAUUCCGAUUA
RNAcentral lists this unclassified non-coding RNA (619 nucleotides) under Centruroides sculpturatus (bark scorpion). RNAcentral describes it as "uncharacterized LOC111638826, transcript variant X3". Lineage: Eukaryota; Metazoa; Arthropoda; Arachnida; Scorpiones; Buthidae. The record is from RNAcentral.